Molecule: ribosomal RNA, 464 nt
Filed under: uncultured bacterium
Lineage: Bacteria
Description: partial 16S ribosomal RNA
Rfam family: Bacterial small subunit ribosomal RNA
Source: RNAcentral
GACGAACGCUGGCGGCGUGCCUAACACAUGCAAGUCGAGCGAAUGAAGUUCCUUCGGGAAUGGAUUUAGCGGCGGACGGGUGAGUAACACGUGGGCAACCUGCCUCAUAGAGGGGAAUAGCCUCCCGAAAGGGAGAUUAAUACCGCAUAAGAUUGUAGUACCGCAUGAUACAGCAAUUAAAGGAGCAAUCCGCUAUGAGAUGGGCCCGCGGCGCAUUAGCUAGUUGGUGAGGUAAUGGCUCACCAAGGCGACGAUGCGUAGCCGACCUGAGAGGGUGACCGGCCACAUUGGGACUGAGACACGGCCCAGACUCCUACGGGGGGCAGCAGUGGGGAAUAUUGCACAAUGGGGGAAACCCUGAUGCAGCAACGCCGCGUGAGUGAUGACGGCCUUCGGGUUGUAAAGCUCUGUCUUCAGGGACGAUAAUGACGGUACCUGAGGAGGAAGCCACGGCUAACUACGUG